UACGAAGGGGGCUAGCGUUGCUCGGAAUCACUGGGCGUAAAGGGUGCGUAGGCGGGUCUUUAAGUCAGGGGUGAAAUCCUGGAGCUCAACUCCAGAACUGCCUUUGAUACUGAGGAUCUUGAGUUCGGGAAAGGUGAGUGGAACUGCGAGUGUAGAGGUGAAAUUCGUAGAUAUUCGCAAGAACACCGGUGGCGAAGGCGGCCAUCUGGACGACUACUGACGCUGAGACGCGAAAAGCGUGGGGAGCAAACAGGG
Molecule: ribosomal RNA, 255 nt
Filed under: uncultured bacterium
Lineage: Bacteria
Description: partial 16S ribosomal RNA
Rfam family: Bacterial small subunit ribosomal RNA
Source: RNAcentral